GAUGAAGAACGCAGCGAAAUGCGAUAAGUAAUGUGAAUUGCAGAAUUCAGUGAAUCAUCGAAACUUUGAACGCACAUUGCGCCCGCCAGUAUUCUGGCGGGCAUGCCUGUUCGAGCGUCAUUUCAACCAUCAAGCCCCAGGCUUGUGUUGGGGACCUGCGGCUGCCGCAGGCCCUGAAAACCAGUGGCGGGCUCGCUGUCACACCGGGCGUAGUAGAUUUUAUCUCGCUCAGGGCGUGCUGCGGGUUCCGGCCGUUAAAAAGCCUUUUUUACCCAAGGUUGACCUCGGAUCAGGUAGGAAGACCCGCUGAACUUAAGCAUAUCAAUAAGCGGAGGA
RNAcentral lists this unclassified non-coding RNA (336 nucleotides) under soil metagenome. Its description in RNAcentral is "partial contains 5.8S ribosomal RNA, internal transcribed spacer 2, and large subunit ribosomal RNA". The stretch from base 1 to 120 matches the Rfam family "5.8S ribosomal RNA", at positions 35 to 154 of the family's 154-position model. The record is from RNAcentral.